GUGCUCAGUUCAGCAGCAUAUAUACUAAAAUUGGAACAAUACAGAGAUUAGCAUGGCCCCUGUGCAAGGAUGACACACAAAUUUGUGAAAUGUUCCAUAUUCUU
RNAcentral lists this small nuclear RNA (104 nucleotides) under Mus caroli (Ryukyu mouse). The record is from RNAcentral. Lineage: Eukaryota; Metazoa; Chordata; Mammalia; Rodentia; Muridae.